This 148-nucleotide non-coding RNA is filed under the name Homo sapiens (human). Lineage: Eukaryota; Metazoa; Chordata; Mammalia; Primates; Hominidae. The record is from Rfam by way of RNAcentral.
GCUGGGCGUGGUGGUGCACGCCUGUGGUCUCAGCUACUCGGGAGGCUGAGGCAGGAGAAUUGCUUGAACCCAGGAGGCAGAGGCUGCAGUGAGCCGAGAUCAUGCCACUGCACUCCAGCCUGGGUGACAGAGCAAGACUCAGUCUCAA